GACGAACGCUGGCGGCGCGCCUAACACAUGCAAGUCGAACGAGCGAGAGAGAGCUUGCUUUCUCAAGCGGGUGGCGAACGGGUGAGUAACGCGUGAGGAACCUGCCUCAAAGAGGGGGACAACAGUUGGAAACGACUGCUAAUACCGCAUAAGCCCACGACCCGGCAUCGGGUUGAGGGAAAAGGAGCAAUCCGCUUUGAGAUGGCCUCGCGUCCGAUUAGCUGGUUGGUGAGGUAACGGCCCACCAAGGCGACGAUCGGUAGCCGGACUGAGAGGUUGAACGGCCACAUUGGGACUGAGACACGGCCCAGACUCCUACGGGAGGCAGCAGUGGGGAAUAUUGCACAAUGGGGGAAACCCUGAUGCAGCGACGCCGCGUGGAGGAAGAAGGUCUUCGGAUUGUAAACUCCUGUUGUUGAGGAAGAUAAUGACGGUACUCAACAAGGAAGUGACGGCUAACUACGUGCCAGCAGCCGCGGUAAAACGUAGGUCACAAGCGUUGUCCGGAAUUACUGGGUGUAAAGGGAGCGCAGGCGGGAAGACAAGUUGGAAGUGAAAUCUAUGGGCUCAACCCAUAAACUGCUUUCAAAACUGUUUUUCUUGAGUAGUGCAGAGGUAGGCGGAAUUCCCGGUGUAGCGGUGGAAUGCGUAGAUAUCGGGAGGAACACCAGUGGCGAAGGCGGCCUACUGGGCACCAACUGACGCUGAGGCUCGAAAGUGUGGGUAGCAAACAGG
RNAcentral lists this ribosomal RNA (735 nucleotides) under uncultured bacterium. RNAcentral's name for it is "bacterial SSU rRNA". It matches the Rfam family "Bacterial small subunit ribosomal RNA", at positions 28 to 776 of the family's 1533-position model. The record is from RNAcentral.